RNAcentral lists this ribosomal RNA (467 nucleotides) under uncultured bacterium. Its description in RNAcentral is "partial 16S ribosomal RNA". It matches the Rfam family "Bacterial small subunit ribosomal RNA", at positions 28 to 507 of the family's 1533-position model. The record is from RNAcentral.
GAUGAACGCUGACAGAAUGCCUAACACAUGCAAGUCAACUUGAAUUUGGGUUUUUAACUUAGGUUUGGGUGGCGGACGGGUGAGUAACGCGUAAAGAACUUGCCUCACAGCUAGGGACAACAUUUGGAAACGAAUGCUAAUACCUAAUAUUAUGAUAAUAGGGCAUCCUAUAAUUAUGAAAGCUAUAAGCGCUGUGAGAGAGCUUUGCGUCCCAUUAGCUAGUUGGAGAGGUAACGGCUCACCAAGGCGAUGAUGGGUAGCCGGCCUGAGAGGGUGAUCGGCCACAAGGGGACUGAGACACGGCCCUUACUCCUACGGGAGGCAGCAGUGGGGAAUAUUGGACAAUGGACCAAGAGUCUGAUCCAGCAAUUCUGUGUGCACGAUGAAGUUUUUCGGAAUGUAAAGUGCUUUCAGUUGGGAAGAAAGAAAUGACGGUACCAACAGAAGAAGUGACGGCUAAAUACGUG